Etheostoma cragini (Arkansas darter) is the source of this 171-nucleotide long non-coding RNA. RefSeq lists it as uncharacterized. The record is from RefSeq and is a predicted model, not a curated record. NCBI's taxonomy places the organism in Eukaryota, Metazoa, Chordata, Actinopteri, Perciformes, Percidae. The transcript has 4 exons.
UUUUAUUUGGCCUAUGUUAAGAAGAAAACCACAGAUGAAAAUUCAAAAUAUAUCAAAAGUAUAAUGUAAAGUACUUUUUGUAGUGUGUCAUUGGGCAUUUUUAAGUGGGUGUGUGGAAAUCCUGCAGCUUUGAGUAUACUGCAUAUACCUGCGUAUCACGUUGACUACACC